CUACGGGUUGCAGCAGUGGGGAAUAUUGCACAAUGGAGGAAACUCUGAUGCAGCAACGCCGCGUGGAGGAUGACACUUUUCGGAGCGUAAACUCCUUUUAUAUAGGAAGAAGAUGACGGUACUAUAUGAAUAAGCGCCGGCUAACUCCGUGCCAGCAGCCGCGGUAAUACGGAGGGCGCAAGCGCUACUCGGAAUCACUGGGCGUAAAGAGCGUGUAGGCGGAUUAAAAAGUCAGAAGUGAAAUCCUAUAGCUUAACUAUAGAACUGCUUCUGAAACUCUUAAUCUAGAAUAUGGGAGAGGUAGAUGGAAUUUCUGGUGUAGGGGUAAAAUCCGUAGAGAUCAGAAGGAAUACCGAUUGCGAAGGCGAUCUCCUGGAACAUUACUGACGCUAAGGCGUGAAAGCGUGGGGAGCAAACAGGAUUAGAUACCCCAGUAGUC
RNAcentral lists this ribosomal RNA (439 nucleotides) under uncultured bacterium. RNAcentral describes it as "partial 16S ribosomal RNA". It matches the Rfam family "Bacterial small subunit ribosomal RNA", at positions 339 to 795 of the family's 1533-position model. The record is from RNAcentral.